GGGGGUACAGCUCAGUGGUACAGCAUUCGACUGCCAAUUGAGAGGUACCCGAUUCAAACCAAGGUGCCCCUU
Molecule: non-coding RNA, 72 nt
Organism: Trichonephila inaurata madagascariensis
Lineage: Eukaryota; Metazoa; Arthropoda; Arachnida; Araneae; Nephilidae
Source: the annotation of a GenBank genome assembly